CAUUUCAUCUGCUUCAUCAAGGACACGGAAUUUUAGUUGGCUCAGGUCUAUAUUUCCCCUCUCGAUAUGAUCCUGCACCAAUACAUGCCAGAUGAAAAUCAAAAACAUUGUUAAUACUCGACUUCAACACAAAGUAAAACUUUCAGGGUACUUAAAAUAUUUACAUAUAUUAAGGAAAUAACUUAGUAGCAACAUAUAUCAACUAGUAAUACUGCAAUUACCUUAACACGACCUGGUGUGCCAAUUACAAUAUCAACACCUCUCCUAAGCUUGAUUUCUUGAGUGUUAUAUGGAGCUCCACCAUACAAACAACAUGAACUCAAUCCCAUCGCUCCACCAUAAACUUCAAAAUC
This 353-nucleotide long non-coding RNA is filed under the name Vigna radiata. RNAcentral describes it as "long non-coding RNA (VRAD_LNC009334)". Lineage: Eukaryota; Viridiplantae; Streptophyta; Magnoliopsida; Fabales; Fabaceae. The record is from RNAcentral.